UGGCUCUCGCAUCGAUGAAGAACGCAGCGAAAUGCGAUAAGUAAUGUGAAUUGCAGAAUUCAGUGAAUCAUCGAAUCUUUGAACGCACCUUGCACCCUUUGGUAUUCCGAAGGGUACACCCGUUUGAGUGUCAUUGUAAUCUCACUGCCUACGACUUUUUGUCGUUGGUAUGUGGACCUGGAUGUUGCCGUUGGUUUUUGACGGCUCGUCUGAAAUGCCUGAGUGUACCCCGCUUUGCGGCGUAUUCGGUGUGAUAAUAUUGUCACCGGAGUUGAUCCUUUUGGGUCGCGUCUGCACGAGUGUGGCUCUAUGCUUUCGAACCGUCCCAUGACCGGGACAAUCUUCUUGACAAUUUGACCUCAAAUCGGGUGGGACUACCCGCUGA
This 385-nucleotide unclassified non-coding RNA is filed under the name uncultured fungus. RNAcentral's name for it is "partial contains 5.8S ribosomal RNA and internal transcribed spacer 2". The stretch from base 1 to 133 matches the Rfam family "5.8S ribosomal RNA", at positions 22 to 154 of the family's 154-position model. The record is from RNAcentral. Lineage: Eukaryota; Fungi.